Molecule: long non-coding RNA, 771 nt
Organism: Charadrius vociferus (killdeer)
Lineage: Eukaryota; Metazoa; Chordata; Aves; Charadriiformes; Charadriidae
Exons: 2
Source: RefSeq, a predicted model, not a curated record
ACUUUAUUUUUGUUCAGAAGGCCAUUUAUGCGUUCUAAGUAUUUGAAAUCAAAACUAGUCCAACACUAACCAGAUGGUCAUGUCCAAUGUUAUUUGGAACAGUUUUUAAAUUACCAGGAUCAGCUCUGUGUAUUCAGAAAACUGAGGGUGCGGAGGUCGUGAGUCUUAAGUCAAUUCCUAAUGUUGCCAAGUUAAGGGCCUGAGCCUGAGCAGGGCUGACCCGCCUCUUGCUUGCCGUGAAACCAGGGACUAGAAGCAGGGGGAGUCUUGAAUGAUCGGCACUUCCCAGGAUCGGGUCUUAAUUUUCCACUCUGCUUGUUCAUACUUCAUGUGCAGUUGAUUAAGGUUCCUGAAUUUGGACGUUAGACAUGCUGUUGCACUGAAAUACAUACGUUUUUUUUUAAUUGCGGUCCCCAUUUCCCUGUUUAAUCUCUCUGUACACAAGGUAUACAAGGUAUAUGCUGUAUAAGUGGCCUUCUUGAACAAAUCUCUUUGCAAACUGAUUUCAUCCCAGCGAAGGAGUGUAUCAGCAACACUGUACAUUAAUUUCAGGUUUUCAUUUUCUUAUUUUAUUUUGUAAAUAUAUCCGAUAUUUGGAGCUUGAGUAUACAAAAUGUAAAUAUAGUUCAUGUAUUUGUACUAAUUCUGAUCCAUUUGCUGUAUAGCCUUAGGUGUGCAAUGCAGAUAUCUAACUGUGUAUGGUAACCUUGCACCACUGAAUUGUUAGUGAACGAGGUGAAACAAUAAAGGUACAACCAGUGCAUUAGCAGA